Molecule: microRNA precursor, 89 nt
Filed under: Sorghum bicolor (sorghum)
Lineage: Eukaryota; Viridiplantae; Streptophyta; Magnoliopsida; Poales; Poaceae
Description: miR156g stem-loop (sbi-MIR156g)
Gene: sbi-MIR156g
Source: miRBase by way of RNAcentral
GUGACAGAAGAGAGUGAGCACACGGCCGGCGGAACGGCACCGGCGGAUGUGCCGUCGCGGCCGCGUGCUCACUGCUCUAUCUGUCAUCC